GAUGAACGCUGGCGGCGUGCCUAAUACAUGCAAGUCGAGCGAACGGACGAGAAGCUUGCUUCUCUGAUGUUAGCGGCGGACGGGUGAGUAACACGUGGAUAACCUACCUAUAAGACUGGGAUAACUUCGGGAAACCGGAGCUAAUACCGGAUAAUAUUUUGAACCGCAUGGUUCAAAAGUGAAAGACGGUCUUGCUGUCACUUAUAGAUGGAUCCGCGCUGCAUUAGCUAGUUGGUAAGGUAACGGCUUACCAAGGCAACGAUGCAUAGCCGACCUGAAAGGGUGAACGCCCACACUGGAACUGAGACACGGUCCAGACUCCUACGGGAGGCAGCAGUAGGGAAUCUUCCGCAAUGGGCGAAAGCCUGACGGAGCAACGCCGCGUGAGUGAUGAAGGUCUUCGGAUCGUAAAACUCUGUUAUUAGGGAAGAACAUAUGUGUAAGUAACUGUGCACAUCUUGACGGUACCUAAUCAGAAAGCCACGGCUAACUACGUG
This 497-nucleotide ribosomal RNA is filed under the name uncultured bacterium. Its description in RNAcentral is "partial 16S ribosomal RNA". It matches the Rfam family "Bacterial small subunit ribosomal RNA", at positions 28 to 507 of the family's 1533-position model. The record is from RNAcentral.